GGAUGUGGCUCAAGUGGUAGCGCGCUCGCCUGGCAUGCAUGUGGCCUGGGUUCAAUCCUCAGCACCA
This 67-nucleotide transfer RNA is filed under the name Marmota monax (woodchuck). RNAcentral describes it as "tRNA.Ala". The record is from RNAcentral. Lineage: Eukaryota; Metazoa; Chordata; Mammalia; Rodentia; Sciuridae.